GUUUGACCUCGGAUCAGGUAGGGAUACCCGCUGAACUUAAGCAUAUCAAUAAGCGGAGGAAGAGAAACAAACAG
Molecule: ribosomal RNA, 74 nt
Filed under: Curvularia lunata
Lineage: Eukaryota; Fungi; Ascomycota; Dothideomycetes; Pleosporales; Pleosporaceae
Description: partial 28S ribosomal RNA
Rfam family: Eukaryotic large subunit ribosomal RNA
Source: RNAcentral